This is a long non-coding RNA of Cervus elaphus (red deer), 2075 nucleotides long. RefSeq lists it as uncharacterized. The record is from RefSeq and is a predicted model, not a curated record. NCBI's taxonomy places the organism in Eukaryota, Metazoa, Chordata, Mammalia, Artiodactyla, Cervidae. The transcript has 6 exons.
CAUGGAGAGGCUUGGAGAUUAGCUACGCCUGUGCAGGACCAUGAGCCUUGCACCUUUUCCCAAUCACCUUUCCCCCACGCCCCCUCUCGCCUCAGCCAGCUCCCCUCUGCUUCUUCAUUGGUCAUCCCCUGAAUACUCCACCCUCUUGUCUUCUGGGGCUUUGAUUUGAGGCUUGUUCUCCCAUUUCCUCACCUUGCAAGUAACUGUCCUUGCUGCGAGCCUCGCUGAUUCAGCGUUUUGGCUUGCUCUGCCUCCCGAAAAAUGAACCUGGCCCAGUAACAAAUUUGGUGGGUCAACCAGGAGAUGGUGUAAAAUGAAGCUGUGAAGCCUGACCCACCACCAUGAAGAGGGAGCCUUAAUCUGCUGGCCCAAAGUGUAAAACCUGAGAGUGGAACUUGCAUUAAGAAAAGCAGCUGAAACAUGAAGGGAAAAUAGUGUUUGAAACCCUGGAUCAAGUCUUACCUGAGGGAGAUUUAACUGGGACCUUGAUCCCAAAAUAUUCAUCUUGGAGAGACUCAAUGCUGAAGAAUAGAGGAGACUUCAUUCAUUGGGAAGGGCAUCUGAUGACAAGGAUAAAGGGUGAUGGAUACUGAAAAUUUACCUAGAUUCUGGGCCACUGAAUGACAUGCUUUUCCCCAGUGUCAGGGGGCCCCAGAAGCAAGAAUAUCCAUGACUCAGGUCACAUCAAAGGAACCUCUGACGUCUGCCUGCACACUCCUGUCUGAACUUCACCCAGUAACUAGGACUCAUGCCCAUUUAUCUAGAGAAACCACCGUUCAGUGGAGCGGAUAGCCGGGUACAGGCUACAUUGCAGCCAGCGGGACUUUAUGAGCAGGAAAUUCAUUCUUGAGAUUGGAGAAGAAACGUGGGUAAUGAGAUAAGGGAAGCGAUGAACCAAACAGCAAGGAAAAUUAAAAAGCACUUGCGGGUUCUGCCUGAAGCUCUUAAUUAACCAUAUUCUCCACAACACAGAGCAAAUCCAUCUGGGCAACCCUGGAAGUAAAAACAUAGCACGUAGCACUCGGUGAUGGGUCACGGCUGGCAAAGUGGUAGGUCAAACACUGAAGAUAUGAGAAGCCCCCAAACUCCCAAAUCAAAAGCAAUGGUGAGGCGGAAGCUAGAAUGCCCUAAACUUAAUGAACUAAUAAAUUAACUUCCCUCAAACUUGGCACAUCAUGCUAAGAAGACAGUGUUUAGAGCUGCCACAACAGCUCUAAAAAGAAAUGGGAAGAGACAGCUGCAGGAACGUGGAUGGCAGCUGCAGCACAAAACUUCACAAGUUCUGACCUCAGCAAAUAAAGCCAGUCACAGCAUCAUUUGCUUUGUCCUUGGGAAGCCAGGCACUUUUGCCGCUACCUUGCGGAUGAGCCAAAACUGUUUCUACCCAAAGCAUUUUAUUUAGGGCUUUUAUAUGACCACAAACUGGGUGUCAAGCAAAAAUCUUACAUCCUAACAUUUGGGCCAGGCAGAAGAUAUUCCUGCUGUUUACGGGGUGGGGAUAAAACACCGUCAGGCUCUGUUAAAUCAUGCAGACACACCUAGCUAAAAAGUGAAAUCUGCAGCCAACAGAAAGAUCAUUUCCUGGAUACCCAGUGCUGGACCACAUAACACGGACUAGUUCAUCACAUCUUCGUUCCAGACCUCCUGGAUAUUAUUUUACCCUCAUUUUACAGCUGUGAAUUUUGAGGCUCAGAGAGGUUAAGCAACUUGCCUCAUGUGGUUCCCAGCUAACAGGUAUUAGAAGCUAGGAUAUAAACUAGGUCCAAAAGGUCCAGAGGUAACCGAAUUCCAUCUACUUCAUCAUGUUAGCUCCUCAUUCUACACAGUGCUUACCCAGGAUAACCAGGCUAUUCAUACUUGUGGAGAUAUGGAAAUGUUUACCAUAGUGAAUACUAUGAAUCAAAUACUCAAAAUAACAGUCUCAGAGCAGGAAGCUGCCUCAUGAGUCAUCUAGUCCAAGAACCCAGCCUAUGCUUAGAAUUUCAGAAAAGGACUUUUACACAGUUUGAAAUAAGGCAGUAACUUUCCAGAGAGGUGAGUAGUCUUGGGGUUGGGAAAAACCAUUUAUGAGACAC